This 247-nucleotide ribosomal RNA is filed under the name uncultured bacterium. RNAcentral describes it as "partial small subunit ribosomal RNA". It matches the Rfam family "Bacterial small subunit ribosomal RNA", at positions 26 to 285 of the family's 1533-position model. The record is from RNAcentral.
AGAAUCAACGCUGGCGGCGUGCCUAACACAUGCAAGUCGAACGAGAAAGUGGGAGCAAUCCCAUGAGUAAAGUGGCGCACGGGUGAGUAACACGUGGCUAACCUACCCUUGAGUGGGGGAUAACCUAGGGAAACCUGGGCUAAUACCGCAUAAUACCUACGGGUCAAAGGAGCAAUUCGCUUUAGGAGGGGGUCGCGGCAGAUUAGUUAGUUGGCGGGGUAAUGGCCCACCAAGACAGUGAUCUGUA